This 61-nucleotide transfer RNA is filed under the name Eisenia nordenskioldi. Its description in RNAcentral is "tRNA-Asp". The record is from RNAcentral. Lineage: Eukaryota; Metazoa; Annelida; Clitellata; Crassiclitellata; Lumbricidae.
GAAUUACUAGUUAAAUAAUAACAAUGCCUUGUCAAGGCAUAAUUACCUCAGGUGUACUUCU